This 424-nucleotide ribosomal RNA is filed under the name uncultured bacterium. RNAcentral describes it as "partial 16S ribosomal RNA". It matches the Rfam family "Bacterial small subunit ribosomal RNA", at positions 354 to 796 of the family's 1533-position model. The record is from RNAcentral.
GUGGGGAAUCUUGCGCAAUGGGCGAAAGCCUGACGCAGCCAUGCCGCGUGAAUGAUGAAGGUCUUAGGAUUGUAAAAUUCUUUCACCGGGGACGAUAAUGACGGUACCCGGAGAAGAAGCCCCGGCUAACUUCGUGCCAGCAGCCGCGGUAAUACGAAGGGGGCUAGCGUUGCUCGGAAUUACUGGGCGUAAAGGGCGCGUAGGCGGACAGUUUAGUCAGAGGUGAAAGCCCAGGGCUCAACCUUGGAAUUGCCUUUGAUACUGGCUGUCUUGAGUACGGGAGAGGUGAGUGGAACUCCGAGUGUAGAGGUGAAAUUCGUAGAUAUUCGGAAGAACACCAGUGGCGAAGGCGACUCACUGGCCCGUUACUGACGCUGAGGCGCGAAAGCGUGGGGAGCAAACAGGAUUAGAUACCCGAGAGUCC